This 251-nucleotide ribosomal RNA is filed under the name Echinococcus granulosus. Its description in RNAcentral is "partial 12S ribosomal RNA". The record is from RNAcentral. Lineage: Eukaryota; Metazoa; Platyhelminthes; Cestoda; Cyclophyllidea; Taeniidae.
UGUAAAGUUGUUCUAGUUUUGUAACUAAAAUGGUUUGGCAGUGAGCGAUUCUUAUUAGGGGAAUAUGCAUAGUGAAGGAUGGUCCACCUAUUAGUUUACUCUUUUUAUGUUGGUGUAUGUCUGGUUUGAUAUUAUUGUUGAAUAAUUUAAGUUUGUGUAGUUUUAGUUAAGCUAAGUCUAUGUGCUGCUUAUUGGAGUUUUUGUGUGUUACAUUAAUAAGGGUGUUAUUGUAAGAUGAUGUGAUUUAGGAC